Long non-coding RNA from Bos taurus (domestic cattle), 1508 nucleotides. Lineage: Eukaryota; Metazoa; Chordata; Mammalia; Artiodactyla; Bovidae. The record is from Ensembl.
GCAUCUCUGGGCUCCAGCGGCGCCGGCCCGCCGCGCUCGGCCCCAAGCUGCUGGUGGGCAAGGAGUUAAGAUGGCGCGCGACGCGAGUGGCGGGAAGGCUUGAGCCAGAAUAAAGAGCCGCACGCUCAUCUUUUUUUCUUCCUCUUUUUGAAAUGCCACUUUUGAAAACAGAAAAUCUGCAGUUUACGGGGAGGAUUCGUCAUCCUUCUCCGUCCCUACCCUGACUCCUACCCUCAGGGAGAUAAAAAGGCAACUCGAAAUCUAACCCGGGACGCGAACUCUGGUUCCCGCAGGCCCUCCCCCAAAACGCUCUGAUUUCCUUGAAACAGCAGCAGCUUCUCAGACACACUGACAGUGUCACUUCACUAGACACCCAAGACUCCUUGUAAGCCAGGAGAAACGAUCAUGCUUGAAAGGGACAGGAAAGCACACUGCCUCCGAGAGGAGCGCGGAGCUGCAAAUUUACCUCACGCUGACUCAGUCCACACAGCAGAUGGUGCAGAGCUGCAAGGGAAACGACCUCCCCAAUUUUUUUAAGUACUUCCUAAUAGCAGCUAAGUGCGUCUUUCAGUACAAGGCACUACGUUCCUGUGAAAUCUAUCCUCGGCUUCUAAGAGCUUCGUUUCCGCACAUGACACCGACUCCUUUGCUCGCGGUGACUCUGGCCCCAGGGUGGCGGGCCUGGCCCGGCGCCGUGCCCCGACCUCCAGGCUCACUCCCCGGAACCCUUAGCGGCUUGGCAGCCCCUCGCCCUCGACCUGGGCGCCCCCGGGCCUCCAGACUGCACGUGCGCCUCCUGCUCGCUGGCACCGAGGUCGAAGGAGCGCAGGGCCACAGGAUGAUUACAAGAAUACACCGCUCCACUUAACUCGCCACGCAGACCCCCUGUUCUGUACUUUUAGUCCUCUUGUUUAGUUCUUAGGUGUGAUCCGGGAGAAACAAACACAAAGGAAAAUCAGACAUCGCUUUUCUAUGUGGCAGACAAAACUCGGCGGAACGCCGUCUAGUGGCCAAAUUACCCAAGAAAGGCAAAUCGGUUUCGCUCCCCACCUCCAAUUUUCAUUUUAAUUGGUACUUUGAAGCCUCUUUUCAUCUGUCAAAUUGCAAAGGGGAUACAGGACCAUCUCUGGAUGGUGGUAAAUUUCGCCCCAUAACCUGAGACUGGCCUAGGCCAAACAAGAAUGCUGAACCAUUUUCCACCUUUCUUGGAUCUCCUUCUCUGGAGACAAGAGUAAAAGAGAGCUCUGUGGACCUUGACUAAGACGCAACUAGCCCCCUCCCAGCUGGAAUAUCCACAUUUCUGCACUUUUUCUCAAGGGAUGGAGACCUGGCUUGGGCUGGAUGGGCGCAGGAAGUCCACUGUAGAAGAGAUGGAGUGGUGCCCCACAGAUAACCUCCUAAAGCAAGUUUUAAGCUCACUGGUUAAAUAUCGACCUUUCAUGAGUUUGCUCUAUGAGUACUUUCCCCACUCCAACCCCUCCCUAUCCCCCCAAAAUAAAACAGUCAAG